Long non-coding RNA from Centrocercus urophasianus (Greater sage-grouse), 751 nucleotides. RefSeq lists it as uncharacterized. Lineage: Eukaryota; Metazoa; Chordata; Aves; Galliformes; Phasianidae. The record is from RefSeq and is a predicted model, not a curated record. The transcript has 4 exons.
CCUCAUAAGACUUGUGUUCCGGACCGACCUUUCAUAGCUUUGUUGCCUUUCUUUGGACACACUCCAGGGCCUCAACAACUUUCUUGUCAUGAAGGGCCCAGAACUGAAUACAGCACAGAACAGGUGUUGUGUACAUCAGAGCUGAGUACAGGAAGAUGAUCACCUCCCCGCUCCUCUUGGCUGCGCUGUUUCUGAUACAGGCCAGGAUGCCCUUGGUCCGCAUGGCCAUCUGAGCAUACUGCUGGCUCACGUUCAGCCAGCUGUUGAUUAGAGCUCUCAGAAUCCUUCUCCAGCAUGCAGUUUUCCAGCCACUCAGUUUCAAGCCUGAACUACUGCACUUGGUUUUCAGGAACUUCAUACCACUGGCCUCAGCCCACCAAGCCAGCUUAUCCAGACCCCUCUGUAAAGCCUUUCUACCCCUAUGCAGAUCAACACUUCUUCCAGUUUGGUGUUAUCUGCAAAUCUACUGAUGGUGCCAUCUAUCCCAUCAUCCAGGUCAUCAGUGAAGAUACUGGUAACAUAAUAUUACAAGUGAGAACUCGUUUUGGAGAAUUCAUGUGCUAGUAUGCCGCGGAGCUAAAACAGUAAUGCGAUCGCAACACGAGCGGGAAGCAUGACAAGACUCAAUGAGCCAUCAAAUCUGGAGAGAAGCCUUUGAGGAUGCUUCCCUGGAAGAAGCUGUUUGAAAAUGCAGCAUUUGAAAAGCAUCUAACCAGCAAUUGCCACAGCAGAGGAAGUUUUUCCCCCAGAG